RNAcentral lists this ribosomal RNA (447 nucleotides) under uncultured bacterium. RNAcentral's name for it is "partial 16S ribosomal RNA". It matches the Rfam family "Bacterial small subunit ribosomal RNA", at positions 29 to 523 of the family's 1533-position model. The record is from RNAcentral.
AACGAACGCUGGCGGCAGGCUUAACACAUGCAAGUCGAACGCACCGCAAGGUGAGUGGCAGACGGGUGAGUAACACGUGGGGAUCUGCCCAAUGGUACGGAACAGCUCCGGGAAACUGGAAUUAAUACCGAAUGUGCUCUUCGGGGGAAAGAUUUAUCGUCAUUGGAUGAACCCGAGUCGGAUUAGCUAGUUGGUGUGGUAAAGGCGCACCAGGGCGACGAUCCGUAGCUGGGCUGAGAGGAUGAUCAGCCACACUGGGCCUGAGACACGGCCCAGACUCCUACGGGAGGCAGCAGUGGGGAAUAUUUGACAAUGGGCGCAAGCCUGAUCCAGCAAUGCCGCGUGAGUGAUGAAGGCCCUAGGGUUGUAAAGCUCUUUCGCCGACGAAGAUAAUGACGGUAGUCGGAGAAGAAGCCCCGGCUAACUUCGUGCCAGCAGCCGCCGUAA